CCUACGGGGGGCUGCAGUGAGGAAUAUUGGUCAAUGGGCGCAAGCCUGAACCAGCCAAGUAGCGUGAAGGAUGACUGCCCUCCGGGUUGUAACCUUCUUUUAUAUAGGAAUAAAGUGAGGCACGUGUGCCUUUUUGUAUGUACUUUAUGCAUAAGAUUAGGCUAACUUCGUGCCAGCCGCCGCGGUAAUACGGAGGAUCCGAGCGUUAUCCGGAUUUAUUGGGUUUAAAGGGAGCGUAGAUGGGUUGUUAAGUCAGAUGUGAAAGUUUGCGGCUCAACCGUAAAAUUGCAAUUGAUACUGGCAGACUUGAGUACAGUUGAGGUAGGCGGAAUUCGUGGUGUAGCGGUGAAAUGCUUAGAUAUCACGAAGAACUCCGAUGGCGAAGGCAGCUUACUAAGCUGCCACUGACAUUGAUGCUCGAAAGUGUGGGUAUCAAACAGGAUUAGAUACCCUGGUAGUC
RNAcentral lists this ribosomal RNA (460 nucleotides) under uncultured bacterium. Its description in RNAcentral is "partial 16S ribosomal RNA". It matches the Rfam family "Bacterial small subunit ribosomal RNA", at positions 338 to 795 of the family's 1533-position model. The record is from RNAcentral.